Arabidopsis lyrata subsp. lyrata is the source of this 321-nucleotide long non-coding RNA. RefSeq lists it as uncharacterized. The transcript has 4 exons. NCBI's taxonomy places the organism in Eukaryota, Viridiplantae, Streptophyta, Magnoliopsida, Brassicales, Brassicaceae. The record is from RefSeq and is a predicted model, not a curated record.
UUCCUUUGAAUCUUUUAUUGGCAGAAGAAGCAGGAGCAUAAUCAUCAUUAUGCAUAUAAGAAGAUUGAUUCAACAGAGGAGAGUCAUUGAUUUGAGUUGAGUUCCUGACAAUGGUGUUCUUUGGUCAGAUGGUGAUUGUCCAGAUGUAUUGCGUGGAUAUACUAAAUGAGAAGAUCAAAAAACAGGAAGCAAUAAUCUCGGAGCAUCACUGGCUUGUUAUUCAGGAUCCACCUCUGUGUUCCUAUUACAGCUAAUCUGGUAAAAAUGAUCAGAGUUCCUUUCAGGCAAUGAAGGUGGAAUCACAUCAAAUUCCGACAAAAG